UGCACACAUGACUGUAAGCCACUUUGGAUAAAAGCGUCUGCUAAAUGGCGUUUU
This is a non-coding RNA of Salmo salar (Atlantic salmon), 54 nucleotides long. The record is from Rfam. Lineage: Eukaryota; Metazoa; Chordata; Actinopteri; Salmoniformes; Salmonidae.